Solea senegalensis (Senegalese sole) is the source of this 828-nucleotide long non-coding RNA. RefSeq lists it as uncharacterized. The record is from RefSeq and is a predicted model, not a curated record. The transcript has 2 exons. NCBI's taxonomy places the organism in Eukaryota, Metazoa, Chordata, Actinopteri, Pleuronectiformes, Soleidae.
ACGCCGCGUUGCUCUGCGCUGAGGUAAUUCUUGGGCUCUCGUUUGGCACUGGUGUAUAAUUUCCACACUCGCGCUGGUGUAAACUUUGAAGACAAACAAGGAAGUGUUUUGCGCAGGUGUUGAAGAAAUGGCUCCUGGUGUCGAGCGUGUCGAGUGAUCUGAAGGAAUGGGAUCACUUCAGUGCAGCAGCAGCAGAAGAGGAUACGCUGUAUAACUGAGCAGUGAGGAAGCCAUGAAAUGGAAACCAGAGAUAGUCUUCAGUCUUUUGUUUGGCAGAGUCCCUGGCGCUGUACAUUUGAGGUGGAGAUAUAAAAAGCAGGUUCUGUGCUCCAUCUCCUGAAGGAUCAUUUAUGAUCAGCUGCCAAUCUCUCCCUCUCUCUCCUUAUGUCCCAGACAAUCAUCAGACCUUGUUGGCAAACAGUAACAAAAUGUUACUUUGUCAUGUUCUCCAGGAGGGAGGUGAUAAACACAAGACAUUCACCAGGGAUUAAGCCGCUCUAACAUGCCAACUUUAUCAAUGUACACAACACACGAUGGAGUAUCAACAAACAUUACAUUUGGCUCAAAACCCAAUGCUCUUCCUUGUAUGUAAAUACUGUUUUGGGGUUAGCUUUGCAUAUUUAUUGUGUGUGAAGGUUUUAUCCUCCACUUAGCCUCUGAAGGCUGGAAAACUGUCUGGAGAGUUGUUAAGACGAACAAUACAGAUUCAGGUUCACCCCUCUGACCCUGUAAUAUGUAAAUAUGUAAUGUUUAAAAUGUGUGUGUGAUUCUGGGAAAACAGUAACAUGAGUUUCUUAGCAGGUCAUUAAAGCAUAAUGAUGACCGUCA